This 500-nucleotide ribosomal RNA is filed under the name uncultured bacterium. Its description in RNAcentral is "bacterial SSU rRNA". It matches the Rfam family "Bacterial small subunit ribosomal RNA", at positions 8 to 526 of the family's 1533-position model. The record is from RNAcentral.
AGAGUUUGAUCAUGGCUCAGAACGAACGCUGGCGGCGUGGAUAAGACAUGCAAGUCGAACGCUCUCUGACCGUAAGGUCGGAGGGAGUGGCGGACGGGUGAGUAAUACGUGGGUAAUCUACCCUCAAGUGAGGAAUACCGCCGGGAAACCGGUGACAAUACCGCAUAGGUUUGUGAGCAUAUCACGAACAAAGCUUCUUUCGGGAGGCGCUUGAGGACGAGCUUGCGUCCGAUUAGUUAGCUGGUGGGGUAAUGGCCUACCAGGACGAUGAUCGGUAGCUGGUCUGAGAGGAUGAUCAGCCACACUGGGAUUGAGAACGGCCCAGACUCCUACGGGAGGCAGCAGUGAGGAAUUUUCCGCAAUGGGGGCAACCCUGACGGAGCAACGCCGCGUGCAGGAUGAAGGUCUUCGGAUCGUAAACUGCUUUUUCCAGGGAAGAAACAAGACGGUACCUGGAGAAUAAGCCCCGGCUAACUACGUGCCAGCAGCCGCGGUAAAUC